RNAcentral lists this ribosomal RNA (459 nucleotides) under uncultured bacterium. RNAcentral's name for it is "partial 16S ribosomal RNA". It matches the Rfam family "Bacterial small subunit ribosomal RNA", at positions 338 to 795 of the family's 1533-position model. The record is from RNAcentral.
ACUACGGGGGGCAGCAGUGAGGAAUAUUGGUCAAUGGCCGUAAGGCUGAACCAGCCAAGUCGCGUGAAGGAAGAAGGAUCUAUGGUUUGUAAACUUCUUUUAUAGGGGAAUAAAGGUAUCCACGUGGGGAUAUUUGCAUGUACCCUAUGAAUAAGCAUCGGCUAACUCCGGGCCAGCAGCCGCGGUAAUACGGAGGAUGCGAGCGUUAUCCGGAUUUAGUGGGUUUAAAGGGUGAAGAGGUUUUUUUUUAAGUCAGCGGUGAAAGUUUGUGGCUCAACAUUAAAUUUCCGUUGAAACUGGAAGACUUGAGUGUGUUUGAGGUAGGCGGAAUGCGUGGUGUAGCGGUGAAAUGCAUAGAUAUCACGCAGAACUCCGAUUGCGAAGGCAGCUUACUAAGCCAUAACUGACACUGAAGCACGAAAGCGUGGGGAUCAAACAGGAUUAGAUACCCUUGUAGUC